UACUGCAAGUGAACGCACAGCGAAAGGUGCUUGCACCUUAUACAAGUGAGUGGCGAACGGGUGAGUAACACGUGGACAACCUGCCUCAAGGCUGGGGAUAACAUUUGGAAACAGAUGCUAAUACCGAAUAAAACUUAGUGUCGCAUGACACAAAGUUAAAAGGCGCUUCGGCGUCACCUAAAGAUGGAUCCGCGGUGCAUUAGUUAGUUGGUGGGGUAAAGGCCUACCAAGACAAUGAUGCAUAGCCGAGUUGAGAGACUGAUCGGCCACAUUGGGACUGAGACACGGCCCAAACUCCUACGGGAGGCUGCAGUAGGGAAUCUUCCACAAUGGGCGAAAGCCUGAUGGAGCAACGCCGCGUGUGUGAUGAAGGCUUUCGGGUCGUAAAGCACUGUUGUAUGGGAAGAACAGCUAGAAUAGGAAAUGAUUUUAGUUUGACGGUACCAUACCAGAAAGGGACGGCUAAAUACGUGCCAGCAGCCGCGGUAAUACGUAUGUCCCGAGCGUUAUCCGGAUUUAUUGGGCGUAAAGCGAGCGCAGACGGUUUAUUAAGUCUGAUGUGAAAGCCCGGAGCUCAACUCCGGAAUGGCAUUGGAAACUGGUUAACUUGAGUGCAGUAGAGGUAAGUGGAACUCCAUGUGUAGCGGUGGAAUGCGUAGAUAUAUGGAAGAACACCAGUGGCGAAGGCGGCUUACUGGACUGCAACUGACGUUGAGGCUCGAAAGUGUGGGUAGCAAACAGGAUUAGAUACCCUGGUAGUCCACACCGUAAACGAUGAACACUAGGUGUUAGGAGGUUUCCGCCUCUUAGUGCCGAAGCUAACGCAUUAAGUGUUCCGCCUGGGGAGUACGACCGCAAGGUUGAAACUCAAAGGAAUUGACGGGGACCCGCACAAGCGGUGGAGCAUGUGGUUUAAUUCGAAGCAACGCGAAGAACCUUACCAGGUCUUGACAUCCUUUGAAGCUUUUAGAAAAAGUUUCUUCGGAGACA
Molecule: ribosomal RNA, 990 nt
Filed under: Leuconostoc mesenteroides
Lineage: Bacteria; Bacillati; Bacillota; Bacilli; Lactobacillales; Lactobacillaceae
Description: bacterial SSU rRNA
Rfam family: Bacterial small subunit ribosomal RNA
Source: RNAcentral